Xyrichtys novacula (pearly razorfish) is the source of this 218-nucleotide non-coding RNA. The record is from the annotation of a GenBank genome assembly. NCBI's taxonomy places the organism in Eukaryota, Metazoa, Chordata, Actinopteri, Labriformes, Labridae.
UUGAAGUAUUUGAAAUCACAUGUACGGUGGCCCUGAGGUGCAAAACACAACAGCAAAUUAAGUAACACAAAAAGAGAAAAUACAGCAGCAAAUUAGAGAACACAACACAAAAAGAGAAAACACCUACCUACAUUUUCUUUUUUGCCAUUGUGUUUUCUCUUUUGCUGUUGUAUUUUGCACCUCAGGGCCACCGUACAUAUGUGAUUUCAAAUACUUCA